Molecule: non-coding RNA, 90 nt
Organism: Phyllosticta citriasiana
Lineage: Eukaryota; Fungi; Ascomycota; Dothideomycetes; Botryosphaeriales; Phyllostictaceae
Source: the annotation of a GenBank genome assembly
GACUCCGUGGCGCAAUCGGUUAGCGCGUCUGACUGUUAUCAGGUCUGAGAAGCGAUCAGGAGGUUGGCAGUUCAAGCCUGCCCGGGGUCG